CGGCGUGCCUAACACAUGCAAGUCGAACGAGAAAGUACCCUUCGGGGUGCGAGUAAAGUGGCAAACGGGUGAGUAACGCGUGGGAUAUCUACCCUGAUGAGAGGAAUAACGCUCCGAAAGGAGAGCUAAUACCGCAUAAUCCGGAAACGGGAAAGGCCUUAUGGUCGCAUCUGGAGGAGCCCGCGUCCGAUUAGCUGGUUGGUGAGGUAAUGGCUCACCAAGGCGACGAUCGGUAGCCGGUCUGAGAGGACGGACGGUCACACUGGGACUGAGACACGGCCCAGACUCCUACGGGAGGCAGCAGUGGGGAAUUUUGGGCAAUGGGGGAAACCCUGACCCAGCAACGCCGCGUGGAGGAAGAAGGUUUUCGAAUCGUAAACUCCUGUCCCACGAGAAGAAGCAAGUGACGGUAUCGUGGGAGGAAGCCCCGGCUAACUCCGUGCCAGCAGCCGCGGUAAUACGGGGGGGGCGAGCGUUGUUCGGAAUUACUGGGCGUAAAGGGCGCGUAGGCGGUUUCGGAAGUCAAGGGUGAAAGCCCCGAGCUCAACUCGGGAAUUGCCUUUGAAACCACGGAACUAGAGUGCUGGAGAGGAAAGCGGAAUUUCCAGUGUAGCGGUGAAAUGCGUAGAUAUUGGAGGGAACAUCUGAGGCGAAGGCGGCUUUCUGGACAGACACUGACGCUGAGGCGCGAAAGCCAGGGGAGCGAACGGGAUUAGAUACCCCGGUAGUCCUGGCUGUAAACGAUGAACACUUGGUGUGGGGGGUAUAAAGUCCCUCCGUGCCGAAGAUAACUCGAUAAGUGUUCCGCCUGGGGAGUACGGCCGCAAGGCUGAAACUCAAAGGAAUUGACGGGGGCCCGCACAAGCGGUGGAGCAUGUGGUUUAACUCGACGCAACGCGAAGAACCUUACCGGGGUUUGAACUGUACCGGCGACAUCCAGAGAUGGAUGGUUUCAUUCAGGGAACAUGGUAUAGAAGGUGCUGCAAUGGCUGUCGUCAGCUCGUGUCGUGAGAUGUUGGGUUAAGUCCCGCAACGAGCGCAACCCUUGUCUGUAGUUGCCAUCAGGUUAAGCUGGGCACUCUACGGAGACUGUCGGCGAUAAGCCGGAGGAAGGUGGGGAUGACGUCAAGUCCUCAUGGCCUUUAUGUCCCGGGCUACACACGUGCUACAAUGGAUGGAACAGAGGGCAGCAAGCCUGCGAAGGCAAGCGAAUCCCAAAAAUCCAUUCUCAGUUCGGAUUGCAGUCUGCAACUCGACUGCAUGAAGUUGGAAUCGCUAGUAAUCGCGGAUCAGAAU
This 1296-nucleotide ribosomal RNA is filed under the name uncultured organism. RNAcentral describes it as "bacterial SSU rRNA". It matches the Rfam family "Bacterial small subunit ribosomal RNA", at positions 40 to 1355 of the family's 1533-position model. The record is from RNAcentral.